ACGCACGCUGGCGGCAUGCCUCACACAUGCCAGUCGCACGAACCCUUCGGGGUUAGUGGCGCACGGGUGCGUAACGCGUGGGAAUCUGCCCUUUGCUUCGGAAUAACUCAGGGAAACUUGUGCUAAUACCGGAUGAUGUCUUCGGACCAAAGAUUUAUCGGCAAGGGAUGAGCCCGCGUAGGAUUAGGUAGUUGGUGGGGUAAAGGCCUACCAAGCCGACGAUCCUUAGCUGGUCUGAGAGGAUGAUCAGCCACACUGGGACUGAGACACGGCCCAGACUCCUACGGGAGGCGGCAGUGGGGAAUAUUGGACAAUGGGCGCAAGCCUGAUCCAGCAAUGCCGCGUGAGUGAUGAAGGCCCUCGGGUCGUAAAGCUCUUUUACCAGGGAUGAUAAUGACAGUACCUGGAGAAUAAGCUCCGGCUAACUCCGUG
Molecule: ribosomal RNA, 432 nt
Filed under: uncultured bacterium
Lineage: Bacteria
Description: partial 16S ribosomal RNA
Rfam family: Bacterial small subunit ribosomal RNA
Source: RNAcentral